GAUGAACGCUGGCGGCGUGCCUAAUACAUGCAAGUCGAGCGAACGGGCGAGAAGCUUGCUUCUCUGAUGUUAGCGGCGGACGGGUGAGUAACACGUGGAUAACCUACCUAUAAGACUGGGAUAACUUCGGGAAACCGGAGCUAAUACCGGAUGAUAUUUUGAACCGCAUGGUUCAAAAGUGAAAGACGGUCUUGCUGUCACUUAUAGAUGGAUCCGCGCUGCAUUAGCUAGUUGGUAAGGUAACGGCUUACCAAGGCAACGAUGCAUAGCCGACCUGAGAGGGUGAUCGGCCACACUGGAACUGAGACACGGUCCAGACUCCUACGGGAGGCAGCAGUAGGGAAUCUUCCGCAAUGGGCGAAAGCCUGACGGAGCAACGCCGCGUGAGUGAUGAAGGUCUUCGGAUCGUAAAACUCUGUUAUUAGGGAAGAACAUAUGUGUAAGUAACUGUGCACAUCUUGACGGUACCUAAUCAGAAAGCCACGGCUAACUACGUG
Molecule: ribosomal RNA, 497 nt
Filed under: uncultured bacterium
Lineage: Bacteria
Description: partial 16S ribosomal RNA
Rfam family: Bacterial small subunit ribosomal RNA
Source: RNAcentral